RNAcentral lists this ribosomal RNA (345 nucleotides) under uncultured Pseudomonas sp. RNAcentral describes it as "bacterial SSU rRNA". It matches the Rfam family "Bacterial small subunit ribosomal RNA", at positions 1037 to 1382 of the family's 1533-position model. The record is from RNAcentral. Lineage: Bacteria; Pseudomonadati; Pseudomonadota; Gammaproteobacteria; Pseudomonadales; Pseudomonadaceae.
GGUGCUGCAUGGCUGUCGUCAGCUCGUGCGUGAGAUGUUGGGUUAAGUCCGUAACGAGCGCAACCCUGUCCUUAGUUACCAGCACGUUAUGGUGGGCGACUCUAAGGAGACUGCCGGUGACAAACCGGAGGAAGGUGGGGAGUGACGUCAAGUCAUCAUGGCCCUUACGGCCUGGGCUACACACGUGCUACAAUGGUCGGUACAAAGGGUUGCCAAGCCGCGAGGUGGAGCUAAUCCCAUAAAACCGAUCGUAGUCCGGAUCGCAGUCUGCAACUCGACUGCGUGAAGUCGGAAUCGCUAGUAAUCGUGAAUCAGAAUGUCACGGUGAAUACGUUCCCGGGCCUU